Molecule: unclassified non-coding RNA, 548 nt
Filed under: Hevea brasiliensis (rubber tree)
Lineage: Eukaryota; Viridiplantae; Streptophyta; Magnoliopsida; Malpighiales; Euphorbiaceae
Source: RNAcentral
AUAAUUUCAGUGGAAAAACCUUGUUACAAUAAUGUGAAUAUAGUAAGUGUUUGCCGUCUUGACUUGGACCAACAAGUCUUUCAAUACCCUCCUCCCAAACUCUUUAUACAAGAAUUAAUGCUUAUAUAUAUACCCCCCCCCACCCCACCAACACAUACACACAUAAUCAAAAGCCACACCAAGGCUAGAGCAUUCAGAGACAUCCAUCCAAAAUUGCUCAUGGGGAGUUUGAUGAUGAAGAAGGUGUUAUUCUUUAAUCUUAAUUGUUGUUGGAUCAAUCUCAUGUUCUCUUGGAGUUGAAUUUGAAAGAUUCCCUUCAGGAAAGGGAAGGAAAGAAAAAAUUGCUUGCCAAUUUAUUAGAAGAGCACAUCCUAAGAGGAGUAGAUACUUCGCUUGUGAAGGUGUCAAGAGAAACCAUAUGAAUGUGAUGGGAAAGUUCUCCACCAAAUAUGAAAAUCUGCUGCCUACUGGUUCCCAGAAAAUUGUUGAUGCCAAUUUAAGAUACAAUCAGAUGCCAAGACUACACAAACGACACAUAUAUUUGGGGG